AACAGGCGAUAUCUUCAGCAUGUGCACAAUGAAACCAAUACUCAGAGAAGGCAGAUAAUUCUCCACGAAGCCAGAAAACUAAUAAAUGAACAACUUGGGUGAAAUGUCCCACCAGACGGUGUGAUAUUUAGUAGCCCAGAAAGCUGCCAAGGGGUUGAAUGACAGUAUCUGAAGAUAUGAACCAGUUCGCUCUCCAUAGGGAGGAUUUCAUCAACAGGAAACAGAUGCCUGGAAGACAUUGGACUUGCUAAGUGUCUGUGCCAUAUGAUUCUGCUGUUUGCGUUUGAUUUAGAAUGCUGAGCUGACUCAAAGUCAAACU
This is a long non-coding RNA of Pan troglodytes (chimpanzee), 319 nucleotides long. RefSeq lists it as uncharacterized. The record is from RefSeq and is a predicted model, not a curated record. Lineage: Eukaryota; Metazoa; Chordata; Mammalia; Primates; Hominidae. The transcript is spliced from 3 exons.